UACGUAGGGUGCAAGCGUUAAUCGGAAUUACUGGGCGUAAAGCGUGCGCAGGCGGUUAUGUAAGACAGGUGUGAAAUCCCCGGGCUUAACCUGGGAACUGCAUUUGUGACUGCAUAGCUAGAGUACGGGUAGAGGGGGAUGGAAUUCCGCGUGUAGCAGUGAAAUGCGUAGAUAUGCGGAGGAACACCGAUGGCGAAGGCAAUCCCCUGGACCUGUACUGACGCUCAUGCACGAAAGGCGUGGGGAGCAAACAGG
This 255-nucleotide ribosomal RNA is filed under the name uncultured bacterium. RNAcentral's name for it is "partial 16S ribosomal RNA". It matches the Rfam family "Bacterial small subunit ribosomal RNA", at positions 524 to 776 of the family's 1533-position model. The record is from RNAcentral.